Molecule: long non-coding RNA, 3525 nt
Filed under: Nicotiana benthamiana
Lineage: Eukaryota; Viridiplantae; Streptophyta; Magnoliopsida; Solanales; Solanaceae
Description: long non-coding RNA (NBEN_LNC015066)
Source: RNAcentral
CCACCUCCCCUCCGCCAUCGUCUUCUUUAAAAGAAAAAUUGUGGGCCACAUUCGUCCCACAAAACGUUAAGAACGUAGAUCCCACAUCGUAGUAGAGCAUCGUAUCAUUGUGAUUUCACUCUUUCGGACAUAAAUUUUCACACAAAAUACUGCAUCGAGGUAUUUUAAUUUAUUUUAUAGUUGAUUGAAUGUGUUUCCAUGUUGUUUUGCAUUUUAUUUGCGAAACUAGUAUGUUAUAUUUAUCUGGACUUAAAUAUUAAUGUUCUAAAAAAAUUAAAAAUUGAGAAAUAACUUUUUUUUGUUAAUAUAAGGAUUUAGAUAUUACUAUUUUCAUGUCGGUUUGUGUUUUAUUUUUACGAAACUAGUAUGUUAUAUGUAUUAUGUGAAUGUUAAGUGAUUAAAAUGUCUUUAUUGUUUAUAUUUAGUUUUGUGUAUCUAUUAGCGUAGUAAAAUGUAGAACCUUUUAGCAUAGUAAAUUGUAGAGUAUUUUAGCGUAGAAUCCCUGUUGUUUAAGUAUUUCUUAUAUUGGUAGAUGAAAAUAUAUACUUUGUACAAUUAAAUAAUUAAAAAAAAAGAAUUUAAAUUAUAAAACAAACACACACAAAAUUAUUAAAAUAUUAAAUUUGACACAUAUAAAUAUUCAUGAUAGUUUGGUGCUAUUGGGCCUCAAAUAUCCAGCAUGUAACCCAAUAGGUAUAUAUACUUUGUACAAUUAAAUAAUUAAAAAUUAAGAAUUUAAAUUAUAAAACAAACACACACAAAAUUAUAAAAUAUUGAAUUUGACACACAUAAUUAUUCAUGAUAGUUUGGUGCUACUGCGCCUCAAAAAUCGAGCAUGGAACCUAAUAGGUAUAUAUAUACUCUGCGCCUCAAUAUCGAGCCUAGAACCCAGUAUGAAUCUAUACUUUGUACAAUUAAAUAAAUAAACAUGCAAUUAAUGUUGUUUAAUUUACAGUUGACGACAUGGACGAGUCACCUAUACAUCUCGGCCCUUACUCUAGCGAGAUAUUAGUGCUACAAGGCGAUCACAGGUCCGCCCAUAUAUGGGACGGGGAGUUAGUGUCCCAGACUCUCUGCGCUAGGAGAGUGGAUGACCUGUGGGAUUUUUUGAGGCCCAGAGAUCUCCACGAACGUGUAGUCCAGCGCCUACAAGAUACGGGAUUUUAUAGGAUUAUUGAGAUCGGGAUGGAUGCAGCUCGGCUAGGCUUUGGUGACGGCGUUGAUUGAGCGGCGGUGACCAGAGACGCAUACCUAUCACCUGCCCAUUAGCGAGGCCACCAACACGUUGUAGGACGUGGAGGUUUUAUAUGUCCUGCCCGUUGAUGGCAUGGCCGUUUCACUACCUAUUGCUAUGAGAUCUAUGUCAGGCAAUCAUUAUUUGGACAUGUUGUAGCAGCUCACGGGUUUCAGGCCACAGGACGAGAUAUUUUGUCGGGUGCCAGUCGGUUGUCUUUGACCCGUAUUAGAUAGUACCUGGAGAUACUCCAGCCCAUUAUUACCGAUGAUACAUAGGAGGUACAUAUUACCCGAUAUACGUGGUUGUUGUUGCUUCUUCUAUUUGGAGGGGUUGUGUCCCCGAACACUUCGGCGAACAUACUCACCUGUAAUUCAUAUUCAGUUGCCAGAUGAGUUACCCUAUUACAUGUAGGGUGCUGCUGUUCUCGCCUACAUAUACAAGAAUAUAUGCUAGGCGCUUUAUCGGGCACCUGCAACAAACAACCUUGUAUACAACCGGACUUGACUCCCAUACCGUCAUCCCACGUUACUAUUUACGUCAUGCAUUUUACAAGCCCUGCUUACGCGCGCUUUAUGUUGAAAAAACAUGCCCUUUGCCAGCACCGUUGAUCUAGACUCAUCCCACAUUGUUGUCCGAAAUUCAUCAAAAUUCCUUGUAAGAGCUUUCACAUCCGACAUGUUUGGCAAUUUAUCAAGGUAAGGAAUCUCCCUUGAAUGAAACAACACUUGAGACUCGUACACACUUCGUCUUGGGGAUGGAUCAUUCUCUCUGGUCGAAUCAGAUCCUUCCUUCUCAUCCUUCUCAUCACCAUCCUCACGAGGAAAGGGUGUCUCGUCUCCAGAUUCAUCAGCAUUGUUGUCGUAAUCACUAUUCUCUUCCUCACUCUCUGCAUCUGCCAGAUUCCAAUUAUAUACGUCGUCUUCGAGCAACUGAGUGAGUACAUUUGCUUCAACUUGCUCGUUUUCACUGCAUAAUCAACAAAUUAUUAGGAUGCUGAAUUUAAAAAAUACUUUCCAUAUAGCCGUAUCACUUCACUUACAAGUCGUAAUGUGAUGAAAUUCCAUGAUGGAUAUUCGCCAGAUCCUGAUUUAAUACGUCGUCUUCAGGCAAUUAAGUGAGUACAUGUGGUUCAACUUGCUCGUUUUUUCUGCACAAUCAACAAAAUAAUAAGCUACUGAAAUUAAUAAAUACUUUUCAUAUUGCUGUAUCACUUCACUUACAAGUCGUAAUGUGAUUAAAUUUCAUGAUGGACAUUUUCAUUUAGGUGAUGACAAUCAGAUGGACCGCCAUGAUCACACACACCAAAACUAUACUUAGGCUCAUAAUUUAUAAAAUUCAUAUCCGGUUAGUACCCUCUAUUAAAUGUAUAAGCGUUAAUACAAAUUCAAUAUAACAAAAAUAUACAUCGUAACACAAAGGAAAAAUUAAAGUUUACCGCUCGUCUUGUGAAUUGUGAAAAGCAGGAGGUGAUAAGUUUAAAUCAAGGAAAACUCUUUCAUUCAAAAAAUGUCCGAAAAAAAUCCGAUGACUGGAGGUUAUCUGAAACCUGUCCGGCAACCUCUUUGUUGGGAACGUCUUCGACCUUGAUGUACAUAUCUAACAUUUUGAAUACAAGAAAUUCCCGGUAAUCCGGAGUUCUCAGAAAAUUCCUCAAAGUUUUAUCAUCGUAUAUGUUUAACUCUGAGUAAAAAACGGCUCUUUGUGGAGUGACGGAAUACAGAUAUCUUCCGGUUACUGUAAGCAUCACUCGAUAUUUUCUCACACCUAUUUUUUUGCAUAACGAUAUUAAUUUAUCAUACUCUGUUGUAAAUAGUAAUUCAACAUGAACCAGUGGAGAUAAAAUAUACCUCACUAAGUUAUUCUCCAUCACAACCUCACCCCUCCAAUAUAAUGAAACUCUUAUUCUACAUUACUUCAAACAUUAUGAAAAAAUGCUUGAGAAUUUAACAAGAAGAAAAGAUUGAAUGGGAAUUAGAAUUUUUUGUGAAUGGAUUUUCCUAAAAUCCUAACUCUUUUAUAUAGGAAAUGUGCGAGCCCGGGGUUUGAGACAUUCACUUAUUGGUAGGCCCAUAAUAAGGGGUAUAACGCGCUGUAUUUGUACGCUAUAUAUAGCAUAAAAUUACAGCACGAUUUACCUGUGUCAGUCAAAUGUCAGUAUGUAUAACGCCAAAACACAUCAUGUUAUAUCUUAAUGGCAAAAGUUAACGUUAAGGUAUAGUGUGGUGUGUUUUUGCGUUAUAUAUAAAGGAAAAUUUUUUACACCUAUUUACGUAACUUUUUACAAAAAG